RNAcentral lists this ribosomal RNA (654 nucleotides) under uncultured euryarchaeote. RNAcentral describes it as "bacterial SSU rRNA". It matches the Rfam family "Archaeal small subunit ribosomal RNA", at positions 76 to 728 of the family's 1478-position model. Lineage: Archaea; Methanobacteriati; Methanobacteriota. The record is from RNAcentral.
CCGUGGCAAACAGCUCAGUAACACGUGGCCAAACUACCCUAUGGACGUGGACACCCUCGGGAAACUGAGGCUAAUCCACGAUACGGCUCCCACGCUGGAAGGCGGGGAGCCGGAAACGCUCCGGCGCCAUAGGAUGUGGCUGCGGUCGAUUAGGUAGACGGUGGGGUAACGGCCCACCGUGCCCAUAAUCGGUACGGGAUGUGAGAGCAAAUAGCCCGGAGAUGGUAUCUGAGACAAGAUACCAGGCCCUACGGGGCGCAGCAGGCGCGAAACCUUUACACUGCACGCCAGUGCGAUAAGGGGACCCCGAGUGCGAGGGCAUACAGUCCUCGCUUUUGUACACCGUAAGGAGGUGUACGAAUAAGGGCUGGGCAAGACCGGUGCCAGCCGCCGCGGUAAUACCGGCAGCCCGAGUGAUGGCCGCUGUUAUUGGGCCUAAAGCGUCCGUAGCCGGCCGAACAAGUCUGUCGGGAAAUCCAUCCGCCUAACGGAUGGGCGUCCGGCAGAUACUGUUCGGCUUGGGGCCGGAAGAUCCGAGGGGUACGUCCGGGGUAGGAGUGAAAUCCCGUAAUCCUGGACGGACCGCCGGUGGCGAAAGCGCCUCGGAAGGACGGACCCGACGGUGAGGGACGAAAGCUGGGGUCUCGAACCGGA